ACGGGUGAGUAACACGUAGACAACUUACCUUAUAGAGGGGGAUAGCCCGCCGAAAGGCGGGGUAAUACCGCGUAAGAUAUUUCCUUGGCAUCUUGGAAAUAAGAAACAUCCGCAAGGAUGGCUAUAAGAGGGGUCUGCGGCCUAUCAGCUAGUUGGUGAGGUAACGGCUCACCAAGGCUACGACGGGUAUCCGGCCUGAAAGGGUGAUCGGACACACUGACACUGAGACACGGGUCAG
RNAcentral lists this ribosomal RNA (238 nucleotides) under uncultured bacterium. Its description in RNAcentral is "partial 16S ribosomal RNA". It matches the Rfam family "Bacterial small subunit ribosomal RNA", at positions 102 to 334 of the family's 1533-position model. The record is from RNAcentral.